AACCUAGCACACCUGCGGUGUGUACCUGCGGAAGGAUCAUCAUCGAAUUCAUAUCCUUCUCCCACCGGAGGGGGACCUAUGAUAAACCCUUCUGUGCACCGUAAACCGUUCACUUUGGCAGGCUUUGGUGGUGAGCGUGAGCUCGUCAACCUCGCGUUCCCUCCCUAGGGGGGCUGCGCGUGGCGGCCUGCCGGAGUCCUCCAAUGAAAAACACGUUUUCGAACACGACUGAAAUUUCCU
RNAcentral lists this unclassified non-coding RNA (240 nucleotides) under soil metagenome. RNAcentral's name for it is "partial contains 5.8S ribosomal RNA, internal transcribed spacer 2, and large subunit ribosomal RNA". The record is from RNAcentral.